UACGGAGGGUGCGAGCGUUGUUCGGAAUCAUUGGGCGUAAAGGGCGUGUAGGUGGUCUGUUAAGUCAUGUGUGAAAGCCCUCAGCUUAACUGGGGAAGUGCGCAUGAAACUGACAGGCUAGAGUACCGAAGAGGAAGGUGGAAUUCCCGGUGUAGCGGUGAAAUGCGUAGAUAUUGGGAAGAACACCGGUGGCGAAGGCGGCGAGCUGGUCCAUUACUGACGCUGAGGCGCGACAGCGUGGGGAGCAAACAGG
This 253-nucleotide ribosomal RNA is filed under the name uncultured bacterium. RNAcentral's name for it is "partial 16S ribosomal RNA". It matches the Rfam family "Bacterial small subunit ribosomal RNA", at positions 524 to 776 of the family's 1533-position model. The record is from RNAcentral.